Long non-coding RNA from Spinacia oleracea (spinach), 729 nucleotides. RefSeq lists it as uncharacterized. The record is from RefSeq and is a predicted model, not a curated record. The transcript has 4 exons. NCBI's taxonomy places the organism in Eukaryota, Viridiplantae, Streptophyta, Magnoliopsida, Caryophyllales, Amaranthaceae.
CUAAUUCCUAGGAAGCGCAUCUUUUGAGUUUUUUCGCUGCUUCCCCCUUUGUUGCUGGUGCUCACCUUUGUUCUUGCUGCUCCCGCGCGCUACUCUCUUCUCCAUCUUCUCUUCUCUGCCCACUCCACUUUCUCUUCAUUUCACAGUUAAACACUCGCACCAAUCUCGCAAUUAUCUCCACUCCACCGGCGACGACCUCGACAAGAAGAACCACCAUUGCGCAAUUGUCUCCACUCGACCGGCAAUGACUUCAAUUGAUUUCGAUUUGGGGUUUUAAUUGCUUGUUACUCCUUCCUGCAAGCUUCUGCUUCUACUCACCCACCAUCCUUCUUAGCUCGCUACGCGCUCCUGGUUAUGCUCAUCAAAUACCGAAUUACCCAAGCGCGAUGACCACAUCAUUUGCACAGCCUUCUGGAAUUUCUCUAUCUCCAGGUUUUCACAACUCCAAGGGAGGGGCCGUUUACCAAAGAGGAGUUGGAUGAAGUUCGAGACAAGUGCGCUACUUACUUCAACGAUUGUGAAUUUCCCUCAGUGUAAUAAAUAGAGCAGGCUUGUAGUUAUCCGUGAUUCUUACAUUAUUUUGUUAUUUAUCGAUUUAAUUAAUUACAUUUGAAUUAAUUCGGUAUUAUUAUUGGAAAUUUGAAAUUUAUAUCAUUUUGAGGAAUGUCAAGAUGAUGUUUGGUGAAACAGUAUUCUAUAAAUUAUAAUGCAGAAUUUUAUAUUGCAAAA